GAUGAACGCUGGCGGCGUGCCUAAUACAUGCAAGUCGAGCGAACGGACGAGAAGCUUGCUUCUCUGAUGUUAGCGGCGGACGGGUGAGUAACACGUGGAUAACCUACCUAUAAGACUGGGAUAACUUCGGGAAACCGGAGCUAAUACCGGAUAAUAUUUUGAACCGCAUGGUUCAAAAGUGAAAGACGGUCUUGCUGUCACUUAUAGAUGGAUCCGCGCUGCAUUAGCUAGUUGGUAAGGUAACGGCUUACCAAGGCAACGAUGCAUAGCCGACCUGAGAGGGUGAUCGGCCACACUGGAACGGGGACACGGUCAAUACUCCUGAGGGAGGCAGCAGACGGGAAUCGUCCGCAAUGGGCGAAAGCCUGACGGAGCAACGCCGCGUGAGUGAUGAAGGUCUUCGGAUCGUAAAACUCUGUUAUUAGGGAAGAACAUAUGUGGGAGUAAAUGAGCACAUCUUGACGGUACCUAAUAAGAAAGCCACGGCUAACUACGUG
This 497-nucleotide ribosomal RNA is filed under the name uncultured bacterium. Its description in RNAcentral is "partial 16S ribosomal RNA". It matches the Rfam family "Bacterial small subunit ribosomal RNA", at positions 28 to 507 of the family's 1533-position model. The record is from RNAcentral.